UCGAACGGAAGUCGUUAUAAAAAGGAUUGAAGAUUUAUCUGAUUGAGAUCUUUUAACAAUGGCUUUAGUGGCGGACUGGUGAGUAACGCGUGAGCAACCUGCCUACUAGAGGGGAAUAACAGUGAGAAAUCAUUGCUAAUACCGCAUAUGUCAUGAACAUCACAUGAUGAAAAUGGGAAAAGAGUAAUCUGCUAGUAGAUGGGCUCGCGUCUGAUUAGAUAGUUGGUGGGGUAACGGCCUACCAAGUCAACGAUCAGUAGCCGGACUGAGAGGUUGAACGGCCACAUUGGGACUGAGAUACGGCCCAGACUCCUACGGGAGGCAGCAGUCGGGAAUAUUGCGCAAUGGAGGAAACUCUGACGCAGUGACGCCGCGUAUAGGAAGAAGGUUUUCGGAUUGUAAACUAUUGUCGUUAGGGAAGAUACAAGACAGUACCUAAGGAGGAAGCUCCGGCUAACUACGUGCCAGCAGCCGCGGUAAUACGUAGGGAGCAAGCGUUAUCCGGAUUUAUUGGGUGUAAAGGGUGCGUAGACGGGACAACAAGUUAGUUGUGAAAUCCCUCGGCUUAACUGAGGAACUGCAACUAAAACUAUUGUUCUUGAGUGUUGGAGAGGAAAGUGGAAUUCCUAGUGUAGCGGUGAAAUGCGUAGAUAUUAGGAGGAACACCGGUGGCGAAGGCGACUUUCUGGACAAUAACUGACGUUGAGGCACGAAAGUGUGGGGAGCAAACAGGAUUAGAUACCCUGGUAGUCCACACCGUAAACGAUGGAUACCAGGUGUAGGAAAU
This 787-nucleotide ribosomal RNA is filed under the name uncultured bacterium. RNAcentral's name for it is "bacterial SSU rRNA". It matches the Rfam family "Bacterial small subunit ribosomal RNA", at positions 49 to 830 of the family's 1533-position model. The record is from RNAcentral.